UUUAAAAAUUUGCAACUUUAAUAUAUACUAAUUUAAAAAAUAAAUUGUUCUCACGGUAUACCGCGGGUUAAAAUCUAGUUCGUUUACAUAUUU
This 93-nucleotide small RNA is filed under the name Arabidopsis thaliana (thale cress). RNAcentral describes it as "ATSL023310". Lineage: Eukaryota; Viridiplantae; Streptophyta; Magnoliopsida; Brassicales; Brassicaceae. The record is from RNAcentral.